RNAcentral lists this ribosomal RNA (440 nucleotides) under uncultured bacterium. RNAcentral's name for it is "bacterial SSU rRNA". It matches the Rfam family "Bacterial small subunit ribosomal RNA", at positions 338 to 795 of the family's 1533-position model. The record is from RNAcentral.
CCUACGGGUGGCUGCAGUGGGGGAUAUUGCACAAUGGAGGAAACUCUGAUGCAGCAACGCCGCGUGAGGGAAGAAGGUCUUCGGAUUGUAAACCUCUGUCCUCAGGGACGAUAAUGACGGUACCUGAGGAGGAAGCUCCGGCUAACUACGUGCCAGCAGCCGCGGUAAUACGUAGGGAGCAAGCGUUGUCCGGAUUUACUGGGUGUAAAGGGUGCGUAGGCGGCCCUGCAAGUCAGGUGUGAAAACUAUGGGCUUAACUCAUAGAUUGCACUUGAAACUGUGGGGCUUGAGUGAAGUAGAGGAAAGCGGAAUUCCACGUGUAGCGGUGAAAUGCGUAGAGAUGUGGAGGAACACCAGUGGCGAAGGCGGCUUUCUGGUCUGUAACUGACGCUGAGGCGCGAAAGCGUGGGGAGCAAACAGGAUUAGAUACCCGUGUAGUC